CCAUGAGAACGAAAGGACUGCGCGGGGGGGGGGGGGAGGAGGAGGAGGACGGAGGAUGAGGGGGAGGGAUUUAUUUCUAAUUACAGUAGCGCCCUCUCCCUCCAUCCCUCCCCCGCCUCCUCCUCUGCCCCCCCCCCCCGCAUUUCGAACUCUCC
Non-coding RNA from Podarcis lilfordi (Lilford's wall lizard), 155 nucleotides. NCBI's taxonomy places the organism in Eukaryota, Metazoa, Chordata, Lepidosauria, Squamata, Lacertidae. The record is from the annotation of a GenBank genome assembly.